UGGGGAAUAUUGCACAAUGGGGGGAACCCUGAUGCAGCGACGCCGCGUGAGUGAAGGAGUGCUUCGGCAUGUAAAGCUCUAUCAGCAGGGAAGAUGAUGACGGUACCUGACUAAGAAGCCCCGGCUAACUACGUGCCAGCAGCCGCGGUAAUACGUAGGGGGCAAGCGUUAUCCGGAUUUACUGGGUGUAAAGGGAGCGCAGGCGGUGCGGCAAGUCUGAUGUGAAAACCCCAGGCUCAACUUGGGGAGUGCAUUGGAAACUGUCGGACUGGAGUGUGGGAGAGGCAGGCGGAAUUCCUAGUGUAGCGGUGAAAUGCGUAGAUAUUAGGAGGAACACCAGUGGCGAAGGCGGCCUGCUGGACCAAGACUGACGCUGAGGCUCGAAAGCGUGGGGAGCAAACAGG
Molecule: ribosomal RNA, 404 nt
Filed under: uncultured bacterium
Lineage: Bacteria
Description: bacterial SSU rRNA
Rfam family: Bacterial small subunit ribosomal RNA
Source: RNAcentral